AUAAUGCAAGUCGAACGCACAGCGAAAGGUGCUUGCACCUUUCAAGUGAGUGGCGAACGGGUGAGUAACACGUGGACAACCUGCCUCAAGGCUGGGGAUAACAUUUGGAAACAGAUGCUAAUACCGAAUAAAACUUAGUGUCGCAUGACACAAAGUUAAAAGGCGCUUCGGCGUCACCUAGAGAUGGAUCCGCGGUGCAUUAGUUAGUUGGUGGGGUAAAGGCCUACCAAGACAAUGAUGCAUAGCCGAGUUGAGAGACUGAUCGGCCACAUUGGGACUGAGACACGGCCCAAACUCCUACGGGAGGCUGCAGUAGGGAAUCUUCCACAAUGGGCGAAAGCCUGAUGGAGCAACGCCGCGUGUGUGAUGAAGGCUUUCGGGUCGUAAAGCACUGUUGUAUGGGAAGAACAGCUAGAAUAGGAAAUGAUUUUAGUUUGACGGUACCAUACCAGAAAGGGACGGCUAAAUACGUGCCAGCAGCCGCGGUAAUACGUAUGUCCCGAGCGUUAUCCGGAUUUAUUGGGCGUAAAGCGAGCGCAGACGGUUUAUUAAGUCUGAUGUGAAAGCCCGGAGCUCAACUCCGGAAUGGCAUUGGAAACUGGUUAACUUGAGUGCAGUAGAGGUAAGUGGAACUCCAUGUGUAGCGGUGGAAUGCGUAGAUAUAUGGAAGAACACCAGUGGCGAAGGCGGCUUACUGGACUGCAACUGACGUUGAGGCUCGAAAGUGUGGGUAGCAAACAGGAUUAGAUACCCUGGUAGUCCACACCGUAACGAUGAACACUAGGUGUUAGGAGGUUUCCGCCUCUUAGUGCCGAAGCUAACGCAUUAAGUGUUCCGCCUGGGGAGUACGACCGCAAGGUUGAAACUCAAAGGAAUUGACGGGGACCCGCACAAGCGGUGGAGCAUGUGGUUUAAUUCGAAGCAACGCGAGAACCUUACCAGGUCUUGACAUCCUUUGAAGCUUUAG
RNAcentral lists this ribosomal RNA (967 nucleotides) under Leuconostoc mesenteroides. RNAcentral's name for it is "bacterial SSU rRNA". It matches the Rfam family "Bacterial small subunit ribosomal RNA", at positions 51 to 1002 of the family's 1533-position model. Lineage: Bacteria; Bacillati; Bacillota; Bacilli; Lactobacillales; Lactobacillaceae. The record is from RNAcentral.